RNAcentral lists this ribosomal RNA (368 nucleotides) under uncultured organism. Its description in RNAcentral is "bacterial SSU rRNA". It matches the Rfam family "Bacterial small subunit ribosomal RNA", at positions 526 to 896 of the family's 1533-position model. The record is from RNAcentral.
CGAAGGACCCGAGCGUUAUCCGGAUUCAUUGGGUUCAAAGGGUGCGUAGGCGGAUUAGUAAGUCAGUGGUGAAAGCCCGUCGCUUAACGGCGGAACUGCCAUUGAUACUGCUAGUCUUGAGUAUGGUUGAGGUGGGCGGAAUGUGUCAUGUAGCGGUGAAAUGCUUAGAUAUGACCCAGAACACCAAUUGCGAAGGCAGCUCGCUAAGCCAUAACUGACGCUGAUGCACGAAAGCGUGGGGAGCAAACAGGAUUAGAUACCCUGGUAGUCCACGCCCUAAACUAUGAUCACUCGUUGUUGGCGAUACACAGUCAGCGACUAAGGGAAACCAUUAAGUGAUCCACCUGGGAAGUACGACCGCAAGGUUG